AAUGUGUUAGGCUGAUCAUUUUGAUCAGUUUUACCAUUUUAAAAGAAGUGAGAGUGAGGGUUUUGAGAGAAGAAGAAGAGAAGAAGAAGAGAAGAAGAGAAGAAGAGGAGAUCAAGCAAGGAGAUCAUCGUGGAUUUUCGUCGGGGGUGAUCCCUAUCAAGGUAUGUUAGCUUUUAGUGUUGGGUGAUCCUUUCCCCCACACACCUAACCCCUUUUAUUUAUUAAGAAAGGAUUGGUUAUGUUGUUAAAGUUGUUAGUUGUUGUGGUUGAAGAUGUUGGAGUUGCUAAAGUUGUUAGUUGUUGUUGUUGUUGGAAUUAUUGUUGGUUGUGGGACAUGAUUGGGUUGUGUUUUUGAGUUGUAUUCUAUUGAAUGUUGAGGGAUUUUAGGUUCCUAAGUGAUUGGGGCUGGAACCUUUGAAGUUAAAAGGGUUUUAGAGUUAGACGUGAAGGAGAAAGUCGGGCAGUUUGCGAGGAGCACGUCCGCGUCGCGGACUUGUUCCCUCUGUGAACAAAAAUCUUCUCCGCGUCGCGGACAGGACGCGGACUCCACUGUUUUCAGAAAUUAUGUUCGAAGAUUUUCUUAAGUUUGGCUGUCCCAAAUCAUUCCUAAAUCAUUCAUAAAUCAUUCCUAAACAUCAUGAGGUCCUUCCAAACACCAAUCAAGUCCUUGAAUCCAUAAUCCAAUUCAAGUGAAGUUAGUUUCCAAUUCAAGUGAAGUUAGUUUCCGAUUCAAGCGAAGUCAAGCUUAGAAGUGAAGUUAGUUUCCGAUUCAAGCGAAGUCAAGCUUAGAAGUGAAGUUAGUUUCCGAUUCAAGCGAAGUCAAGCUUAGAAGUGAAGUUAGUUUCCGAUUCAAGCGAAGUCAAGCUUAGAAGUGAAGUUAGUUUCCGAUUCAAGCGAAGUCAAGCUUAGAAGUGAAGUUAGUUUCCGAUUCAAGUGAAGUCAAGCUUAGAAGUUAAGCAAGUCAAGGCAAGUCGUUAAAGCUUUUCAAAGAGUCGUUAUUGAACGUCUUAACGUCGUUUCAAGUCUCAAGUCGAGUUAAGAGUAUCAAGUCUUAAGUUAAGUUAAGAGUUUCAAGUCAAGUCAAAAGUAAAGGGUUCAAGUAAAGUAAUGAGUAAUGAGUCGAGUCCAUUUCUCCAAAGUUAUUAGGGAACUAUGUACUUCCCAAAGAAGUUUCUAAAUGUUUUUACAUUUAAGUAAGAAAGGAAAUCAUGUCUUCCAAAAGAGCCGUUGGGCUAAGCUUUGAGUAAUUAUCUCAAACUAAAGAAAGAAGUUAUUUUAAAAGCAUGAGCCAAAGUAUUUUUGGGAGUAGUAUUGAGCACCGAAUUGGGGACACGAGUUCAUAUUAACUCAACUCUCCAUAAGAACCAUGCGCCAACAUGGGACUUGACGUAUCAUUCUUUUUAGAUGAUCACGUAAGAUUAGGCUAGUGGAUCCACUAAGCAAAAGUAAGGUCCUAUAUCACGGCAAGGUAUAGGAUGGUCCUCGGGCAACGUGAGGUAAAACGUUGUAUCAUCACUAAGGCUCGUAGUGGUGGUUGUCGGUUAAAGAACCUCCCACAAAAGCUAUGUUACUUCUAUAUAAGUAAAGUGAGUUUGUUAUCGUUUUAUCCUUAACGAACUAAGUUGUUCACAUUGUUUUUACAAGCUUUAUAUGUAUUGCAUGUGUCUUAUUGCUUUACAUUGAGUUCGGUUAUUCAUGAGUCGUUCAAAGUCAAGGUAAGUGUUCUCUUGUGCUCCCUUAAAUCUUAAGUUGUGGUUUAGUAUUUCCAGCUCGCAUACUCGUACAUUCCAUGUACUGAUGCCAGUUGGCCUGCAUCGUCUUAUGAUGCAGAUACAGGUACCCCGGAUCAGCAUCCUGCACGUCGUUGAUCCAGCUGAGCACUCCAGAGUCAGUGG
This 1895-nucleotide long non-coding RNA is filed under the name Solanum tuberosum (potato). RNAcentral describes it as "long non-coding RNA (STUB_LNC000243)". Lineage: Eukaryota; Viridiplantae; Streptophyta; Magnoliopsida; Solanales; Solanaceae. The record is from RNAcentral.